AUUGAACGCUGGCGGCAUGCCUUACACAUGCAAGUCGAACGGUAACGGGCCUUCGGGUGCCGACGAGUGGCGAACGGGUGAGUAAUACAUCGGAACGUGCCCGAUCGUGGGGGAUAACGAGGCGAAAGCUUUGCUAAUACCGCAUACGAUCUACGGAUGAAAGCAGGGGACCGCAAGGCCUUGCGCGGACGGAGCGGCCGAUGGCAGAUUAGGUAGUUGGUGGGAUAAAAGCUUACCAAGCCGACGAUCUUUAGCUGGUCUGAGAGGAUGAUCAGCCACACUGGGACUGAGACACGGCCCAGACUCCUACGGGAGGCAGCAGUGGGGAAUUUUGGACAAUGGGCGCAAGCCUGAUCCAGCCAUGCCGCGUGCAGGAUGAAGGCCUUCGGGUUGUAAACUGCUUUUGUACGGAACGAAAAGCAUUCUUUUAAUACAGGAGGGUCAUGACGGUACCGUAAGAAUAAGCACCGGCUAACUACGUG
Molecule: ribosomal RNA, 482 nt
Filed under: uncultured bacterium
Lineage: Bacteria
Description: partial 16S ribosomal RNA
Rfam family: Bacterial small subunit ribosomal RNA
Source: RNAcentral